This 89-nucleotide unclassified non-coding RNA is filed under the name Pseudomonas yamanorum. The record is from RNAcentral. Lineage: Bacteria; Pseudomonadati; Pseudomonadota; Gammaproteobacteria; Pseudomonadales; Pseudomonadaceae.
UGUGGGAGCGGGCUUGCUCGCGAAUGCGGUGGAUCAGUCAGCGCAUCUGGUGACUGAAACUCCCAUUCGCGAGCAAGCCCGCUCCCACA